Long non-coding RNA from Oncorhynchus nerka (sockeye salmon), 387 nucleotides. RefSeq lists it as uncharacterized. The transcript has 3 exons. Lineage: Eukaryota; Metazoa; Chordata; Actinopteri; Salmoniformes; Salmonidae. The record is from RefSeq and is a predicted model, not a curated record.
CGUAGAGAUUUGUAAAGGCCCAUUACCCUGAAAGAGCUCUGCAGGAAGAGGGAGCUGGGAUACAGUUACCAGACAUUGGGCUUCUACUGUGAGAAACAUACGGGGAAUGGCAACAGUAGCACCACCAACUUUUGUGGGGGUCACCUCAUCCUCUAGAUGGAAGGCUACAACCAAACCAGAACUACUGUUUUGGUAGCCUCCGUAUAGGCGAUUCCCUCCAUCGCGACACUGCUGCCCAGUUGAAGAGCUUGUGAUCUCCAUGUAGCACCACAGCACCAUGCGCCUUCGGAAAAGCACCCCUCAGCCUCAGAUGUCUUUCUGGAGGCAUGCAGCCAUAUAGAGCCAUUAUACCCUAAUGUGGGUCUAUUUGCCUACGAGCCAAAUAAA